GGACCCGACCGCUAUCGGGGUAGGGCUAAGCCAUGCGAGUCGCGCGCCCGGGGGCGCCCGGGAGCGGCGCACGGCUCAGUAACACGUGCCUAACCUACCCUCGGGAGGGGGACACCCCCGGGAAACUGGGGCCAAUCCCCCAUAGGGGAAGGGAGCUGGAAGGCCCCCUCCCCGAAAUGGACUGCGGCCGAUCCGCCGCAGUCCGCCCGAGGAUGGGGGCACGGCCCAUCAGGUAGUUGGCGGGCUAAAGGCCCGCCAAGCCGAAGACGGGUCGGGGCGGUGAGAGCCGCGAGCCCCGAGAUCGGCACUGAGACAAGGGCCCAGGCCCUAAGGGGCGCACCAGGCGCGAAACCUCCGCAAUGCGGGCAACCGUGACGGGGCCACCCCGAGUGCCCCCUUUCCGGGGGCUUUUCCCCGCUGUAGGAAGGCGGGGGAAUAAGCGGGGGGCAAGUCUGGUGUCAGCCGCCGCGGUAAUACCAGCCCCGCGAGUGGUCGGGACGGUUAUUGGGCCUAAAGCGCCCGUAGCCGGCCCGGCAAGUCCCCUCCUGGAUUCCCGGGCUCAACCCGGGGACUGGGGGGGAUACUGCCGGGCUAAGGGGCGGGAGAGGCCGAGGGUACUCCCGGGGUAGGGGCGAAAUCCUAUAAUCCCGGGAGGACCACCAGUGGCGAAGGCGCUCGGCUGGAACGCGCCCGACGGUGAGGGGCGAAAGCCGGGGGAGCAAACCGGAUUAGAUACCCGGGUAGUCCCGGCUGUAAACGAUGCGGGCUAGCUGUUGGGUGGGCUUAGAGCCCACCCAGUGGCGCAGGGAAGCCGUUAAGCCCGCCGCCUGGGGAGUACGGCCGCAAGGCUGAAACUUAAAGGAAUUGGCGGGGGAGCACCACAAGGGGUGGAGCCUGCGGUUCAAUUGGAGUCAACGCCGGGAAUCUCACCGGGGGCGACAGCAGGAUGACGGCCAGGCUAACGACCUUGCCUGACGCGCUGAGAGGAGGUGCAUGGCCGUCGCCAGCUCGUGCCGUGAGGUGUCCGGUUAAGUCCGGAAACGAGCGAGACCCCUGCCCCCAGUUGCGACCUAGGGCUACGGCUCUAGGGCACACUGGGGGGACUGCCGCCGUUUAAGGCGGAGGAAGGAGGGGGCCACGGCAGGUCAGCAUGCCCCGAAUCCCCCGGGCUACACGCGGGCUACAAUGGCGGGGACAGCGGGUUCCGACCCCGAAAGGGGGAGGCAAUCCCUCAAACCCCGCCGCAGUUGGGAUCGAGGGCUGCAACUCGCCCUCGUGAACGCGGAAUCCCUAGUAACCGCGCGUCAACAUCGCGCGGUGAAUACGUCCCUGCUCCU
This 1337-nucleotide ribosomal RNA is filed under the name uncultured archaeon. Its description in RNAcentral is "bacterial SSU rRNA". It matches the Rfam family "Archaeal small subunit ribosomal RNA", at positions 19 to 1337 of the family's 1478-position model. The record is from RNAcentral.